This 71-nucleotide transfer RNA is filed under the name Planctomycetes bacterium HGW-Planctomycetes-1. RNAcentral's name for it is "tRNA-Gly". It matches the Rfam family "tRNA". From Rfam's summary of the family: Transfer RNA (tRNA) molecules are approximately 80 nucleotides in length. Their secondary structure includes four short double-helical elements and three loops (D, anti-codon, and T loops). Lineage: Bacteria; Pseudomonadati; Planctomycetota. RNAcentral also lists the same sequence under 4 other names. The record is from RNAcentral.
GCGGGCGUAGCUUAAUGGUAAAGCUCCAGCCUUCCAAGCUGGUCAUGUGAGUUCGAUUCUCAUCGCCCGCU